AGAAUCAACGCUGGCGGCGUGCCUAACACAUGCAAGUCGAACGAGAAAGUGGAGCAAUCCAUGAGUAAAGUGGCGACCGGGUGAGUAACACGUGACUAACCUACCUUCAAGUGGGGGAUAACCUCGGGAAACCUGGGCUAAUACCGCAUAAUACCUUCGGGUCAAAGGAGCAAUUCGCUUAAGGAGGGGGUCGCGGCCGAUUAGUUAGUUGGCGGGGUAAUGGCCCACCAAGACUGUGAUCGGUAUCC
Molecule: ribosomal RNA, 248 nt
Filed under: uncultured bacterium
Lineage: Bacteria
Description: partial small subunit ribosomal RNA
Rfam family: Bacterial small subunit ribosomal RNA
Source: RNAcentral